This is a long non-coding RNA of Papaver somniferum (opium poppy), 2773 nucleotides long. RefSeq lists it as uncharacterized. The record is from RefSeq and is a predicted model, not a curated record. NCBI's taxonomy places the organism in Eukaryota, Viridiplantae, Streptophyta, Magnoliopsida, Ranunculales, Papaveraceae. The transcript has 11 exons.
UCUCUCUUACCUCUCCACUAGCUCACAGCGGAACUCAUCACUUGUUUUUUUUCCCCUGUAAGUUUAGCCAUUUGCUCUCGAUCGACCUCCAUCACCUUCUUAUUCUUCAAAGAAUCUGUUUCACCGAUUUCUUCUUCUCGAUCCAGAUCCGGAAGUUGAAAUAAAAGUCAAUACCCUCAAGCUAAAAAUCGAUUUCAUCGGUAGUCUGUGUUGUCAAUGAUGAAAUCCUUUUUGCGAUUCAUUGGGGGUUUCGGUUUACUUCUUUAAUGAUUCCUGAUGAUGAUUGUGUGGUGGUGGUGAUGAAGCGGAAGUUGGUGGAGAUACAUAUUGAAGAAGUGCUUGAAAGUUUGAGAUGUAACAAACUAGGGCUUUCUAAUGAAGAUGCUCAACAGCUAUUAGCGGUGUUUGGUUACAACAAACUCGAAGAGAAGGAGGAGAAAAAGUUGUUGAAGCUCUUAUCGUUUAUGUGGAAUCCGUUGUUGUGGGUAAUGGAGGCAGCAGCUAUUAUGGCUAUAGGCCUUACUUAUGGAGGAGUAAGUAAUCUGUAUAUGUUUUCCAUUAGUACUACUUUCUUUCUGUAGUCAGAUUUGGCUUUGGCUUUGGCUUUGGCUUUGUCUUGUGUGUUAAUUACUACUACUUGGGGUUUUCUUGCAUGGUAAACCACCGGAUUAGCAAGAUUUCAUAGGGAUUACUGUACUUCUUAUAAUCAACUCAACUAUCAGUUUAACGCAAGAAAUGCUGCUGCUAGUUUGAUGGCUCGUCUUGCUCCUAAUGCUAAGGCUGAGUUCUUUAACAAGUUCCUCGAUGUGAAAAUCCUUGAGCAAGGUUGAUAGAAUCGAUUCUUUUGGAUUUGAUGUUUGAUGAGGAGGCAGAUGAAAUUGUUUUUAAAUUAUUGAGCCGUGGUUGUAAAGUGCGUCUUACUGGUUACGAUGAUGGAAACGGUAAUGUUGGAGAUCAAGAGUGAUGUAGCAGCAUCUGAAGCAAACAAGGAAAGUGAUGAUCCCAAAGUAAGGAAGAGAAGGAAGUCGAGGCCAAGAAAUACGAUGACGAUAAGGUACCUGGUUCACCACAUUUUCAUUGAACUCAAAAGGCCAUCACAAUGAGCAACCACUUCCAAGGCUUACAACACCAUAAUCAUCUCGUGCAAACGGUGGUUCGAAGUUCCUGCAUUUGGACAAGUACCAUGGAUACUUCCUGUACCUACAAUAAUGAUUUUUGGUAUAGGGAAAUCGUAAUAGGAGAAGACACUUGGACAUUGUGGAGUGACAAGUGACAACAAUCUACAUAAGCAGCAGAAAUCUCAAUGAUAAACGUCAUUCAUUGGAGGCAUGCAAGCACGUGCAGAAGAGGGAUGUUUUGGUUGGUACUGAUAGGCCAGCAGAAAUUGCUUUUGCAGACACUUUCAUUGAGAUGGAUACUGCCUGUGUACCUGCUAUAACGAUUAUUGGUAGAGGUAGUUUCAAUUACAAUAAAAUCAUAAUAGGAGAAUACACUCAGACAUUGUGGAGUGACAAGUGACAACAGACUACAUAAGCAGCAGAAGGCUCAAUGAUAAACGCAAAAUUUUGGGAGAAACUUGAAGCGAACAAGGAAAAAUUCCCAUGCCACCACAUGUUAUGCAAGUCAUUGAAGAAGAAUUUGCAAAGAUCCAUCUGUUAGGAGCCACAUGUUGGGAAACUUAGAUGAAGCUCACAAGGUUAGCGGAUGUCUAUUUCCUUUGUCGUAUGGUUUUGAUUGCUUUUAGUUGAUUUAUUUUGAUGCAAUCUGCCUUUAUAGCAAGGAUACAAUAUUUACUACCCUAUGACCAACAAUGCUCUGAUAUCUGCUAUAGCAAGAAUUGUCCUUAUAUUCGAUAUACUUGGUUGAGUGUUUCGUGUUUUGAGUAAGUAUGUAUUUGAAUGCACUUAAUCUGCCAUACAUCUUUAGUAUAUUAUUCUGCGAAUACAACAUAGUAAUGUUGGGGAAGCUUGCCUUAGGAGCGAACACAACUGGUAAUGUGUAGUCUGGCAGCACUAUGUAAUAUUUAUGUUUUGAAUAUGAGGUCCAAAAAGCAUAGUAGGAUCUAACACAACUGCCAUAUGCUUACCCAUGUACGAUAACAUUCGUAGCUGGAUGGAAGAACUUACGCUCAAGAAUGCUCCUUACUUGAAAACUUAUGUACCCUUAGUUUCAGGCUCGUAAGUUGUUAGACCUUUUCUUUAACUUAGUGCCUCUUUGAAUGUCGUGUUUGUCUCUAUUAAGCUCAGGAUUUCUAGAGUCUAUUCCCAUGUUGAUAACCAUCUAGAGUCUAUUCCCAUGUUGAUAACCAUCUAGAGUUUAAACAUGCGAAAUAGUCUUCUCAAUUUUUCUUUGACUAUGAUAUAGGAAGAUUAGAUUACUAAACAGUUAUGUGAGUGAUAAUUUAUGAUAUGAGAAAGAAUCUGAAGAGUAUGAUAAUACUUUUUUAUAUAUUUUAUUGAAGAGAUCUUAUUUGUGGAUCCGUAAAUAUCUUUAUGCAUCACUAAUAAAGUUUAUGUGCUAUCUGAGAUUCGUCAUGGAAAGUGGUAACAAGGGUUACGAGGUUGUUUCCUUAACUUCUGAGUAAGUUGUCAUGUGCUUCUGUGAGAGUAAGUUGUCCAUCUUUGCAGCUUGUAUUAUUCAUGACUGUUAUCUACCUGAUUAAUGAUUUUUCGUGGGUUGUAGUAAUGAAGGUUCGAACUCUAAGACUUGUGAAGGUGAAGGAUUUUUAGAUUUAUAAAAAUUAUGUACAAAAAUAUUGACAAAUUGGUAGAGA